UUACUACAGGUUAUUGCUGAGGUCAAAAUACCCAAACUCUAACCCGUCGGAUGUCUGCAGCACCAAGCAUUAUUUCGCCCCCUAAAAGAGAAGCAGCAUUAUUUGACUUGAGCUUCUUUGGAGGUCCGGUGAUUGGACUUUAUUUUUAUAUUUUUCAUGGUGUUCUUUGAAUUGUAACUCCCCUAGGUUUUAGCAUGCGUUUGAAGGUUUUGAUUGCUGGGGAACACGGUCAAUGGAUCAUGAGAUUAUCACUCGACGUGCAAACCCUUGUGGAAGUUAAAUCCAUGUAGCGUGUCCAUACCGAGUAGACGACCAACAUGCUCCUCACAGAUUCCGGUACAAUAAAAAUUCGGGUACAAGUUUGAGUGUUAUUUCUAGUCAAUGAUGAUUUUGAGUGUUAUUUCUAAUCCAAUAAAAAUUGAAUUGUUGCAUAUCUUAAAAUUUGUGUACAAGUAAAGGUUUACAAAUACAAAGUCACAAUUAUCUGUACUCCCUCCGUGUUUUUAUUGAGGGCGUCAAAAUUUUCACCCGAAUUUCUAAACAUAAGGCGCGCAACUGUGCGUCUGCGCGCUGGCGUGAUUUGCGAAUUAUCUACUCAUCCACGCGAUUUGGUUGCUUACUGAAAAGUUGCAUCUGUCGUGGAGUUUUGUUGCAUGCAUGCAUGCUCACGGGGCAUCGAUGAAUGGUCCAGUUUUUUUUUCUUGCACAACUGCAUGCGGCAGUUGAGAUCGAUCGUGUGUGCUCCCGAAUGUGUAUGCGGCAGCUACUUAAGUUGCAAGAUGUGUGCAACUUGAUCGGCCGGUUUUGAAAAAAACUAAUUUUCAACCCACAGAAAAGAAGUGUUAUUCAGUUCCGACUAGCGGAGAUGGUUCUAACCGUACGUACGUACGUACGUGUCUAAUUUACAUGGUCCAUUUUUAACCUUGCACGUCGCUUCCGUUCCCUGGCUCCAACACGAUAGUGGCUCUUCUCUGUUAUCUUUGCAUGGAACAACGUGUGGAGUCAAUAACAAUCGAACAGCUAGUAAUAAUCUACUAGUAAUGCCCAAGAACAACGCGAAGAGAGCGAGGGAGAAAAACUAAUUUAAUCAGAGAGAGAGAAAGAGAGUGUGGGUAUGUGUUGAAGUGGCCGAGAAGGAAGAUCAGUAUGGGGCAGUAAUUUAUGGGCGGCUCGAUGAACAUUCCCUUGUCGUGGACUGGAUGGACGCAAAUGGCAUGCGUGCACCUGCCAGAGCAUUUCUCGCGUGCCCUCUCACGUCUCGAUCACCCGCGCACUGCAUGCCGGCCGUUGUGAACCUAUGCCGUGUGCAUGCAUAUAUGUCGUUGUGGUUUGGGUGUGUGCUCCCUAAAAGCACAGCUCCCUCUCUCGUGCAUGCCUUUAUCUCUUUCUUUCUUUCUUCUCUUUUCGUCCCUCGCUUUCUCUUCUUUCCUCUUGUUUCCUAUCGUCUUUUCAUCUUCCUUUCACGGACACUACUGUCUCCGGUAGAAACGCUAGCUAGAGGACGAAGAAAAAGCAGCAAAGAGAUGGAAAUUAAUGGAUCCAUCUCUGUGCGCAUAUCUUUCUGUCUCUCAUGUAUUUGACCAUGACGAGAUAGAGCCGAGAAAGGUAGUAAAAGAAAACAUAAACCUGUAAAGAUCGAGUGAAAAGAAAAUUACAUACUCCGUACAUACUUAAUCAUCACAAGUUAUACAGUUAUAUGCCUGAUCCAUAUGCAAUUUGUUACUACACUGGAUAGCACGUACGCAUAUAUAGUUUCGCGCAUGCUGAUCAGUACUGUACCAGGAUGUGAGUUCCUAUAUAUAAUUACCCUAUCGAUCGUACGCUUCCUGCACAUGUCGUACACAAAGUAAGGCAUAAAUAUAUAUAGUAAUUUUUUAAAUUUUAUUUAACCGGCCGGCCAAAAGCUAGCUAGCUUGUUGCUUUAUUAUAAAGUGAAAGGUGAUGGAUAGUUUGUUCAAGGCUCGAGGAGGAUGCAUGAUGUGUGUGUAAUUGGUGGGGACUGGCGACUACCUAGGAAUUGCUUGCAAGGCGCUAAUUGAUGGAUGGAUGGAUUGAUCGAUAGACCGGACUAGAUAAAAAUGUGGCACGUAGGGCUUGGUGCUAGCGUUGCACCAUGGGAUGCUUCUGCGUGUGGCACUGUACAUGUGAGACAGCUCGAUGUGGACGCUCCGCAAUCUGCCCAAAUGUAUAUCAUAUCUAUCUCAACCGUUAGCUCAUGGCGCAUUAGGUUCUCUUUUCCAUCGUGUGUGUCCUACGUACUUGGCAGGUACGGCGCUGUUUCUUUGACCAUGCAUGCAUGGACGUACGUGUAUGUGCAAUCCCAGAGCUUGUCCUGUUUCUUCUGAUCAUUAGCUAGCGAGCGCCUUCUUACGAGUUACGAACUACUGUUACUCCCUUAUUUUCAGGAUUUAUAAGACUCGAUCACUCGUAUUCCAUAUUUCAGGAUUUAACUUUGAUAUAAUUAUGCCCUAAAAAAACUUUGAUAUAAUUAUUAGACAACUGAUAUAUGUUUGUAAUUAAAAUUAUUUAACUGGAAAUUUCGCUGUUUGUGGAUUCAAUAAUAUAACUUUUUGUGGCACCACUCAUAUAUAUUUUGUUGCUCAAUUGCCGUUUAAAAUAAAUAUCAAAAGAAGUAUGCUUCGGUACACCCCUCCUUCCAGAAUUAAAAAGGUACCUACUUUUAAUUCCGUUUCUACAUAUUAGUUAGGAUAGCCCACUAGCUAAAACCCAUAUCCAAGCCCCGUAUCUGGGUCGAUACCCAUACCCAACUCUCCCGUUCGCUGAGGGCUUGGCUUUCUUCUUCUUCCUCCAUGGGCUAUCGCCACAGCCACAUUGCAGCAAGCACUGAUGGCAGAUAUGAGGGUGGCCUGACUCCGUUCACUUAGUCCGAUCUGGAGCUCCGGGCGCCAUCCCUUCCCCACGAGUAAUUAAUAAGAGAUCUACGUUUACUCAACCAAGGCCUGAUGCAUACAACUUGAUCUUGAUAUGGUAGAAAAAAUAGUUGGUGCUGACUUAGAAUUCAUGGAUUAGCAUUUAAUAAGUAUGGUACUAGAACAUACAUAGACAAGAAUAUAUUUUGGGAUUGAGCUUAACUACUCCAAGUUCCCUUGUUUGAGUUGCUAGAGUAAGGUGCUCAUCCUCACCACGAGUAUCACUUGAAUCAUCACUUGCUACUUUGACUCUAGCCGAUCCUACAAAUUAGUAGAAUAAUAGUAAGUGAUACCAUUACGUAUUUUGUUGGAGCUAAAUCUCUCAACUCACACAAGAAACGGAAAGCAAGAUUUUUGGCCUCGAGCUGCCUCUCACAGCCGAGCUUUUCUCUCCUUCUAUUCCUCUUUCUUGUUACCAAAACAACCGAGAUUACAAUGCCUUAUAUUAUAAGCCAGCAAAAACGGCUCGGCUCGGCUCGGUCCAGCUCGUCACGAGCUCGCCUCCGCUGAGCCGAGCCUGGCUCGGCCCGAAAUUCCGGCGAGCCGUUUUUGCUGGCUCGGCUGGGCAGGCACGCAGCUCGGGCUGGCUCGGCGAGCUGGAGGGUAGAGGUGUACGGAGGCAGGCGGGAGAUCCGGCGACGGAGUCGUAGACGAUGUGGUACGACCAGAGAAGGUUCCCAUCGAGCUCCACGGCCCCGUCGUCUACUUCUGCGACCUCGUCGUCGUCUUCUACCUCUGCGACCCUGUCGUCGUCUACCUCCACGGCCCCGUCGUUGCCAGCGAGGGGCGAGAACAGGCCGAGGUCGACAAGGAGAGACCGGCGUUGGCAUGAUUGAAGGCGGCGGCGCAGCAUCAUGGCGGCCAUAUGGCCGAUGCGGGCAAGAGAUGAGCCGCCCAGCACCUGCUCCUAGCGGCUAGCACGAGCACGUUGUCCAUGGCGGCGGCCGACGGGAGUUGUGCAGCGGCGGCGGACCAGGAGAGUCGUGGGAGAGAGACGAGGCUGAGACAGAUCGAGGAAUCGUUCACGUCGCCCUAAUUCCCCUCGGCCUUGGGCAGUUGCGUCGUGGGCUUCGCCAUGGGCUUCGAAAUAUUGGGCUGGGCUGCCACUGUAGCUCUCGAGCCAGCAGCCCGAGGGCAAAACGAGCCCAUUUUCGAAGCUCGGCUUGAGCUGAAAGUGAAGCAGGCUCGGGCCGAGCUGGCCCGGCUCGUCAUGGGCUCGGUCCAGCUCGCCGAGCCCAGCUCGUAUGUCCAGCCUGAGACCGAACCAGCACCCGAGUCUGGACUGAACCGGGCCAGUUCGCGACCAAGGUCCACGUGGCAUGCCACGUCAGCCCGAAAGGUGGGGCCUGUCGGUAAGAAAACAUUGGGUUAGGGAGAAAAAUACUAAAAGGGGUAAUUAGUGGCAAAUGUUUGCUUAAAUGGGGUAGAAUUUUAGAAAUUCUCUUAAAUGGGGUAGAUUGUGUCAAGAAAAUGAAGAGAGGAGGUAAAAAAUGGACUUUACUCAAAGGUUUUUCCUUGGCUAUGGAUAAAAGGGAGGAUUAAAGUGAGAACGGUGCUUAGGAGAAAGCAGAUUAUUGCCACUGAUGAAUGUCCUUUUGGCUGCAAUGCAAGUGAAUCUCCGACUCAUCUCGGCUGGUUUUUCCACGUUCUAUCUUACUCUUUCAAUUGUUGGGGAUUAAUACUGUGGGUGCAUAACACUUGCGCCUCCUGACAAGAUGGCUGCUUGGGAGACUGUUUUUUUUUGGAACGAAGUCAGGAGGGGAGACCCCUACCUGAAUUUUGAUUAAAAGGAGCCUGAGGCUCAAAGUUGCAAAGCGCCUGAAACCGGCAAAAGUGAAAAUAAUUACAAGGCAGGACAGAGCAAACACAAGGAAGCAAAGGAGAAAGAAAAAAAUUGGUAUUUAAUCAGGCCAAUCUUCAAUCCAGCGGUUGAUCGCCUGUUUUUCCUUGUUCUUCAAAGUUGGGAGACUGUUGCUGCUGCUAUUCUUUAGAAUAUUUGGCUUGCCCGAAAUCACAAGGUUUUUGAUGAUGGCAACAUUCCCGUGUCUAUCUUGGGAAGCAAUGUUCAGAGACAUUGAAGCUAUGGUCUCAUCGUUUAAAAGGCAAGUAGAGGUUAGCUGCUCGUCGGUGGAUAUAAGAUUGGCCUGCAUAGUUCCUUUCUUCUUGUUCUUCUUUUCUUUUCCUACAAACUUGUGGUACUUAAUUAUAAAAUUUGGCUGUUGUAAUCCUCCUGGGACUUGUACUGUUUGGAACUCCUUGGUUCCGUUUUUAUAAAAAUUAGGUAGGGGUCUCCCCUCCCGACUUCGCUAAAAACAAAGGUUCCAAAUCUGGGCGGUGUUACAUAUCGGAGCGAUUAGAAGCUUGAACUUCUCAUCCGGCGGCAAGCGUCGUCACGGUCCAAACUGAAUCCGUGCUGUGGGAGGAUAGUACUCUUAGGCCCAGUGCUGGAAAAUGGGCAGAGAAGAAAACGUACUCCGUAAUAAGGCUUAACUAGUCCGUCUCUGGUCUCUUGGCCCAAAUACUCGAGCUGAACACCUCUCUUUUUUUUUCUCGGGGCUUUGAAACUUCAGAUGUGGCCUCUCAAAUAUGCUCCAAAAAAAUGUUGCCUCUAAAAAAAAUGAAACUUCAGAUUUGGAUUCGUAUCUCCAUGAAUAAAAAUUUGAAUCCAAAUGCUUUGAGAUAAUUUGCAUGCCAACCUGUUUUUACAUGACUCCAUUUCUUUAUCUGACAACCAUUAUUCAGGCAUUCGCGGACGACACCACAGUCACAGAUACAAUUUGGGCGAAACACUAAGAUCAGACUUUCCUUGAACUCACACGAGAAAACACGCGGGGCACUAAGGCCAGUCCGCCACCACCCUUAAUACCAUGGCUGGAAGCCUGGAACCGGAGAAGUAAGAAUGGUGUUUGCUUGAGAGGAGGAUGCCGGCGCUAUGGCCUGGUUUGACAGCUUGUCGUGUCAUGUGGGCGCAAUCGCGCGUGCAUGUGUAGUUGACAACUUGAAUUAGCGGAACACAUCGACACACCGUGCUCUGGUACGAUCAGUGGAUGAUUGGAUUGACUAAUGGUACACACGAUUCACGAUUCUUCCGUCAUUCAUUCACUCGUGCACCUCAUGCUUAAUUACAUUGCGCGGGGUUCACUCCACCAUGGUACAAAUCAACACAUAACUAGACAAAGGUACAAGUUGAUCUACGGCGUACAAGUACACAUGCAUGCAUAUAUCGAUCGUCCGAUGGAUGGACCGAUAUAUACUACAGCUAGCUGCUAAUUCUCAUUUAGCUCCCGGGGGCGAAGUUGGUAGCAAAGGCCCAUGCAUUGUUGUUGACUGGGUCGGCGACGUGGUCGAAGAGGUUCUCGACGGGUCCCUUGCCCGUGACGAUGGCCUGCACGAAGAAUCCAAACAUGGAGAACAUGGCGAGGCGGCCGUUCUUGAGCUCCUUGACCUUGAGCUCAGCGGCGGUGUCUGGGUCGUCGGCGAGACCGAGGGGGUCAAAGGCGCCACCGGGGUAGAUCUUGUCGAGCCCCUCACCGAGAGGGCCUCCACCAACACGGUAACCCUCGAUGAAGCCCAUGAGCACAACUUGGCAUGCCCAAAUGGCGAGGAUGCUCUGCGCGUGCACGAGGUUAGGGUUGCCCAGGUAGUCCAGGCCGCCCUCGGAGAAGAUCUGCGAGCCGGCCUUGAACCACACCGCCUCGCCGAACUUGACACCAUUCUUGGAGAGGAUCUCCGGGAACACGCACCCGAGCGCGCCAAGCAUCGCCCAACGAGAGUGGAUCACCUCGAGCUCCCUGUUCUUGGCGAACGUCUCUGGGUCAGCUGACAACCCCGCGGUGUCCCAGCCGUAGUCACCGGGGAACUCGCCGGUCAGGUACGACGGCGUCUGCUCGGAGAACGGGCCCAGGUACUUGGGACGGUCAGGGCCGUACCUAUAUAUACACGCACGGUCAUUUCAUCACCAUUAAUUUCAUUCAGGCGAAGCCAAUUGCGCGGUACUUGAUGCAUGUAGUACAUAGAAAUGUAGCUUUGGACGAAGAAAAAGAUAUACUUACCAGAUGCUCUGGGGUGCGCUCUUGACAGUCCGGCGCAUGGUGAUGCGGCCGCCGAAGUCGCCGACGCUGCGGACGAGGUCAUCGCGGCGUGGGGCGGUGCCGAGGAAGCUGGUGGUCUGGUGCAGCGCCGACGCGGCCAUUUCGAUCCCAAUUCAAGUGGUAAGGUCAGUGAGAGAUGAGCUGGUGGCUGGUGUUGUUUGAGUGAGGAUGCCCGGCUCGGGGAGGUGGAUCUUUAUACGGCGCCUGAGAGGCGCGGGGCGAAGCUGGUGGACGCGCGGCGAGACACGUCCCCGCGACCCAAUUGGCUGCUGCUUCGCCUCUGGAUAUGGCGCGGUAUCCAUCCCCCUCCACGCGACCACUCGUCGGCCGCCACCUGGAGCCCAAGAUCGCAUCGCCCACAUCCUACACUAUCCCGACCAUAUAUGCACAUAUGUGCUCUGUUUCAUUUUAUCACGGUACAAUACUUGCCUAGAUCCGGUGAAACCGUGACAAAAUCAAACGACACCACCCACCAGUUUUCAUCUCACUGAUCGACCUGGUGAUGCGAGGUGAUUGAACCUCUCGCAGAUGUUCUUACCUUGCUCCGCUGGAUAAAGAUAUUACGGUUUUGUUAGUUCUAGGUUGUCAGAUUUUUAGUUAGAGAUAAGUUGAUUUUUCGGCCGUUGGAUAUGAUUUGUGCUUUAAAAUUUGCAAAGGAUGAUGAAAAAAAAAAGAUUUUUUACACUGGAUCAUACUGCUCCUCUUAUCCCAUCCGUCCGCUGUGCCUCGAGAUUCGUGCCCGACACCACAUAGUGAAAACUGCCUUCUGACUGCUGCUGAGUCCCACUCCUCAUUUUCCUUCUUCCCCAACCUCAAGCGCCUCUCUCUCUCUCUGCCCCUCUCUCUCUCUCCCCCCCAUGGUGCUGCUCCAUGUUAGGCGUCUCUCUCUCCUCUCCAUGGUGCUGCAUUGCCGCUCCAUGUUUUCACGCCUCUCUCUCCUCUCCAUGGUGAUGCUCUCUCUCUCUCUCUCUCCUAUCCAUGGCGCUGCACCAGUGGCUGCGGCGGCGACGGCACGGCCAUGUGUUGGAGGCGGCAGCAGGCGGUGCGCAUGUGGUGGCGAUAGCGGCCAACAUCGUGCCAUGUGCUUUUGGCGAGCCAGUUUUUUUCUUCGGCACACUAUAGAAGAGGCCAAGAGGGAGUGGUGUGCUCGAGACUCAAGAGUGACUGAAGCUUUCCCUGAAAAAAGAGAGCAAAGUGAGAUCUAAAUAUUAAUCUAAUGGCUCUGAUUCGUCAACUUAGAUCUAAGCCUUUUUUGCUUAAAUCAGGCAAAUUAGAUAUAGCAACGUCCGAUCUAAACCGUCUAAUUUCUUUUGAGUAUAAUGUGUGUUUUUGUUUGGCUUCAGUUUCAUUGUUCCAUGCGAUUUGGUUAAUUUUUUUAUACCAAAAAAGAGAGAUUUGGCUAAUUUUAACCUGAAGAUUGGUGGAUACUGAGCAUCUCCAAUGGGGUCUCCCAAAAGCUAUCCCAAAUGUCUCUUUGGGGGAUAUGGAUAUUUUGUUCUCAAAAUCAUUCCCGAAUGGCAUCCCCAAAACGGACAAAAUUUCCUCUUUGUCCGUCCCCAUCCUCAAAUUGGCCCCAAAUUUGGGGAGGUUUGGGGUGUCCGGAGACCGGACACACACUCACUUCUUAUCCGGCCCGAUCUCACAAAAAGCAGAGAUUCCAGUCCUUCUUCCUCUCCCUCUCUCUCUCUCUCUCUCUCUCCCCCCUCCGCACAUAGUGGAGCCGGAAGAAGUCAUGUGUUGCAUGCGAAUAAUGACAGAGGUCAUGUGCUGCAUGCGAAUUCAAAGACUAUGUGCUGAAGGAACCAGUCAUGCGCUGACACAUGGCAUCUUAUACCAUAUACCAAUAAAAUAUAUCAUAUAUCAUUUACUGACACCAUGUAUUGAACCACAUACAUUGACUGAUAUCAUAUAUCAUUGACUAAUACCAAGGAAAAUAUCAUUCACAUAGCAUAUACCAAUCCAUAUACCAUUGACCCAUAUCAUGUACCAUUGACUCGUAACAAAAUAUAAUACUAAGGUGGGUCGGCCCACCACCACGUGCCAGCUUGUGCCGGCACCACUACAUAGCGGUGCCGGUAGAAUCGCCGCUUUACGUCUACCUCCCUCUCCCUGCUUUCUCUGCUCCCUCUCUCGAUCUCUCUUCCUCUGACUUCUCCUCACCAUCUCUUCUCUCUGGGCGGCGCCGAAUCCGACCGGCGCUGUCUCGACCGCCGCCGCUCCGCCGCGGGUCCUUCCGCGAACGAACUGCUCUGCCUGGGCAAGCUCCACAAGGUCGCGCCACUGCAGAAAGCAUCCGCAGGCUGUGGAGAUUCGCCCGGACCUCGUCCUCCGACGGCAGUACCAAAGCGGCGCCGGCGUUCAGUCCAGGAGCACAUGCAGGGACGAACAGCAGGGUCAAGCUUCAUCCGCUAGCCAACGUAAUCAAAAGACCGGUCUGAUGGAAACUCUAGACAAUUCACUUAUACACUUCAACACCCCGCCCCCCUCACGUGUGACGGGAAGACAAGUCAACACGUGUAAACUCAGAGGUAUGGUGGUUCAAGAGGCCAAUACAUGAACAGAGGGGGUAACAACAAUUUUUAAUAUAAAUUGUGAAAGCCAGGACUUGCCGUUGGGUGACGAGGGCAGACACAGGGCGUACAUAUGUCUAUUUGCCCUCCAAACGGACAAAAUGAGGACAUUUGAGGGCAAAAUUUGGAGGACCCCAUUGGAGAUGCUCUAAGAUCUUGUGGUGUUGCAGUUAUAAAAACCACUCCCUCCGUCCAACAAAAGAUGUCUUAAGUUUGUCAAAAUUUGAAUGUAUAUAGACAUGACUUAGUGUAUAGAUGCAUUCAAAUUUAGUCAAAUUUGGACAUCCUUUGUUGGACGGAGAAAGUAUUUUUGUAAGGCGGUUAUAAGAACUACUAGUACUACACAACCGCGUUUUGCUUUUCUUUUUCCUAAAAUUGAACUAGUACCGAUCAGCCUAUAUAUGCAUCUUCACGUUCUAUUAAUAUCUACACUGAUAACUUAUUGAGUGAAAGAAAAGGUUUUAGGAAUAAUAUAUGUAUAUGAAAAUUUAGAAUCACGUAUGAGUUGGACACAGUAACAGAAACUUGUAGUAUAGAAGUACUCUAUUUCCCUACUACCUUAGACAAUAUAAAUAUUGAGACCAUGUUACUCCCUAUUUAAUAUUCAGAUUUCUUUUUGUUUUGUUCUUGUUGCUGAAUGCAGUUCAAUGUAUUGCUCUAAUUUGAGUUGUCCCUAUAAUUAUUUUUACAAGUUUUGAAAAAAAGGUAGUGUAUGUUAAUUAAGAACCAAGAUUCAUACAAUCAUUCAUAACCACGCAGGACAGCACGGAAUUACUCAACACACCUCCAGUGCACACCUUACUGCAGUAGCUAGCUAGCUCAUGAGCCACAUAAUUGUUCUCUCUUUUAGUAAAAACGAAGCGAAUGCCAGGAUCAAAAGUAGUGACCUGUGGAAUGUCAACCACCAUUGAGCAUCUUGAAGACCGAUUAUCCGCCAAGGAGUAAAGAGCCUGAAUGAAGGAGACGCAAUCGCUUUCAACAAUCAAAGGUGCCGAGGAGUGUUGCCUGGCUAUCUUGAGGCCCUGAAGACAAGCCACACCCUCAGCCAUCUCUGCAUUAGGACAACGAGCAAUGGCGUCCCAAGCUGACAGAAUUACGGUGCCAUGUUCAUUGUCAAUCUUCAUGCGCUAGCCAACGCAACCAAACGAUCGAUCUGAUGAAAAUAAGCAAUCCACUUAUACGCUUCAACACCCCGCCUCACGUGUGACGGGGAAGAUAAGUUAACACAUGUAAACUCAGAAGUAUGGUGGCUCAAGAGGUCAACAUAUGGACGGAGAGGUAACAUCAAUUUUUAAUAUAAAUUGUGAAAGCCAUGACUUUAACAUGAGACAUUUGGCUUUGAUACCAUGUCAAACUUCAUGCGCUAGCCAAUGCAACCAAAAGAUCGAUCUGAUGGGAAGGGCUAGGCAAUCCACUUAUACACUUCAACAUUGAUCAAGGAGAACCGCACCCCAAGUAACAAUGUUCACGCCCGACGAAAAGCUAGCAUUCACGUUGAGUUUGAGCCAUCCCGUGUCUGGUGGUCUCCAGGCCGAAGGUGGACAAGGCUGGACAGUUGCAUGUUCCUCUGCUCGGGUUGUACUACACGAUUUUCCUUCAAGAUCAGGUUCCAGCAUCUUAUCCUUAAUUGUCAUCAUGGAGUUUGCAUAAUUGAAAAGAAAUUGUGCCGAAGGUUGGAUCGAUGCAUCUCCUUUCGCAAAGAUGAUAUCAUUCCGGAGAUGCACGCUCGCCACCAUAUGAAUAGGAGUUUGGUACGGGAGUCCUCAUUCACCUGAUCGAGUAACACCAAAACCCAAUCGCGCCCAAAGUAGCGAAUACCAGUUUCAGGUGGCAGCGGCAUGAAAUCCAUCUUCAGGCUCCAUGCCACACAUGGUGCAAGUCUCGUGGAUGUUUUUGAAGCGAUGGUGGUG
RNAcentral lists this long non-coding RNA (11501 nucleotides) under Brachypodium distachyon (stiff brome). RNAcentral describes it as "long non-coding RNA (BDIS_LNC000209)". The stretch from base 9768 to 9902 matches the Rfam family "MIR1120/MIR1122 microRNA precursor family". The record is from RNAcentral. Lineage: Eukaryota; Viridiplantae; Streptophyta; Magnoliopsida; Poales; Poaceae.